Molecule: ribosomal RNA, 468 nt
Filed under: uncultured bacterium
Lineage: Bacteria
Description: partial 16S ribosomal RNA
Rfam family: Bacterial small subunit ribosomal RNA
Source: RNAcentral
GACGAACGCUGGCGGCGUGCUUAACACAUGCAAGUCGAACGGAAAGGCCCUGCUUUUGUGGGGGGCUCGAGUGGCGAACGGGUGAGUAACACGUGAGUAACCUGCCCUUGACUUUGGGAUAACUUCAGGAAACUGGGGCUAAUACCGGAUAGGAGCUCCUGCUGCAUGGUGGGGGUUGGAAAGUUUCGGCGGUUGGGGAUGGACUCGCGGCUUAUCAGCUUGUUGGUGGGGUAGUGGCUUACCAAGGCUUUGACGGGUAGCCGGCCUGAGAGGGUGACCGGCCACACUGGGACUGAGAUACGGCCCAGACUCCUCCGGGAGGCAGCAGUGGGGAAUAUUGCACAAUGGGCCGAAGCCUGAUGCAGCAACGCCGCGUGCGGGAUGACGGCCUUCGGGUUGUAAACCGCUUUCGCCUGUGACGAAGCGUGAGUGAAGGUAAUGGGUAAAGAAGCACCGGCUAACUACGUG